UGUGUGUGUGUGUGUGUGUGAGGUAAGUGUGUGUGUGUGUGUGUGAGGUAAGUGUGUGUGUGUGUGUGAGGUAAGUGUGUGUGUGUGUGUGUGUGUGAGGUAAGUGUGUGUGUGUGUAUGUGAGGUAAGUGUGUGUGUGUGUGUGUGUGUGUGAGGUAAGUGUGUGUGUGUGAGGUAAGUGUGUGUGUGUGUGUGAGGUAAGUGUGUGUGUGUGUGUGAGGUAAGUGUGUGUGUGUGUGAGGUAAAUGUGUGUGUGUGAGGUAAGUGUGUGUGUGUGAGAGAUAUGUGAGGUAAGUGUGUGUGUGUGUGUGAGGUAAAUAUGUGAGGUAAGUGUGUUUGAGUAGUGUGUGUGUGUGUGAGAGAGAGGUAAGUGUGUGAGAGAGAGAGAGGUAAGUGUGUGAGAGAGAGGUAAGUGUGUGUGUGAGGUAAGUGUGUGUGAGGUAAAUGUGUGUGUGUGAGAGAUAUGUGAGGUAAGUGUGUGUGUGAGAGAUGUGAGGUAAAUGUGUGCGUGUGAGAGGUGAGGUAACUGUGUUUGAGUAGUGUGUGUGUGUGAGAGAGAGGUAAGUGUGUGUGAGAGAGAGGUAAGUGUGUGUGAGAGAGAGGUAAGUGUGUGAGAGAGAGGUAAGUGUGUGUGAGAGAGAGGUAAGUGUGUGUGAGAGAGAGGUAAGUGUGUGUGAGAGAGAGGUAAGUGUGUGUGAGAGAGAGGUAAGUGUGUGUGAGAGAGAGGUAAGUGUGUGUGAGAGAGAGAGGUAAGUGUGUGUGUGAGAGAGGUAAGUGUGUGUGUGAGAGAGAGGUAAGUGUGUGUGUGAGAGAGAGAGGUAAGUGUGUGUGUGAGAGAGAGGUAAGUGUGUGUGUGAGAGAGAGAGGGAAGUGUGUGUGUGAGGGAAGUGUGUGUGUGUGUGUGUGUGUGUGAGAGAUGUGAGGUAAGUGUGUGUGUGAGAGAUGUGAGGUAAGUGUGUGUGUGAGAGAUGUGAGGUAAAUGUGUGCGUGUGAGAGGUGAGGUAACUGUGUUUGAGUAGUGUGUGUGUGUGUGAGAGAGAGAGAGGUAAGUGUGUGUGAGAGAGAGGUAAGUGUGUGUGAGAGAGAGGUAAGUGUGUGUGUGUGAGAGAGGUAAGUGUGUGUGUGUGUGAGAGAGGUAAGUGUGUGUGUGUGAGAGAGAGGUAAGUGUGUGUGUGUGAGAGAGAGGUAAGUGUGUGUGUGUGAGAGAGAGGUAAGUGUGUGUGUGUGAGAGAGAGGUAAGUGUGUGUGAGAGAGAGGUAAGUGUGUGUGUGUGAGAGAGAGGUAAGUGUGUGUGAGAGAGAGAGGUAAGUGUGUGUGAGAGAGAGAGAGGUAAGUGUGUGUGUGAGAGAGAGAGGGAAGUGUGUGUGUGAGGGAAGUGUGUGUGUGUGUGUGUGUGUGUGAGAGAUGUGAGGUAAGUGUGUGUGUGAGAGAGGGAUGUGAGGUAAGUGUGUGUGUGAGGUAAGUGUGUGUGUGUGAGGUAAGUGUGUGUGUGAGGUAAGUGUGUGUGUGUGAGGUAAGUGUGUGUGUGAGAGAGAGAGAGAGAGAGGUAAGUGUGUGUGAGAGAGGGGACAGAGUGUGUGUACACUAGAGACUGUCCAUUUUAAAACUGGUAGGAAAUAUUCAGAGAAGGCUACUUUUCGCUGUUUGAAGAAAGUUGUCCACCUUUUAAUUUUUAAGUGCAAAGUUGUACUUUGAAUAGUUUUUUUCUGGUUAUUUCUACGUUUAUUUUUUAUAUAAAUAAAUCUUACCUUGGUUCUCCCUCAUACAGAUCUGAAGUUCACUCCUUUUGGUGUCCGGGGCACAUUUUCUUGUAAGACUUAGAUUUGUUGAAAUACUGAAUCUGGUUUCCCCAUCAACAACAGACUGAAUUUCUUUCGUACCUGAUUUCAGGGCAGUUCCACCUGCACGGUUCGGUGAAGUUGCCUCCUAGACGCUGAUCUUGGGUCAACCACUAACGGUUGAGGUUUGGAUUGGGGGAGGGGGAGGGGGGAUAAACUGAUUCUAGAUCUGUAGCUAGGGGGAAACUUCACCUUUUUAGCCUCUUAGACUGCAGAGCUGUUAUCUACUUACAGUACGUGUCACUCCCCCCAAGUCUACAAAAAGAAACAGAUUAAUCUAUUUACAUGGAUCUUUAUCUUUUAAUCUCUAGUUUUUUUUUUCUGUUGCUUUUUGUUACCUCCCAUUUUCAGAGCAGAUUCUAAGUGUUAUCGAUUGUUCCUGUAUUGAUGUGGCAUGUCAUGUGUAUGUGAUACAGUUUGGAGUGAGGCAGAAUAAAGAGGGGUUUCGUACCG
Molecule: long non-coding RNA, 2291 nt
Organism: Oncorhynchus tshawytscha (Chinook salmon)
Lineage: Eukaryota; Metazoa; Chordata; Actinopteri; Salmoniformes; Salmonidae
Source: Ensembl